AGUGAACGCUGGCGGUAGGCCUAACACAUGCAAGUCGAACGGCAGCACAGUAAGAGCUUGCUCUUACGGGUGGCGAGUGGCGGACGGGUGAGGAAUACAUCGGAAUCUACUUUUUCGUGGGGGAUAACGUAGGGAAACUUACGCUAAUACCGCAUACGACCUACGGGUGAAAGCAGGGGAUCUUCGGACCUUGCGCGAUUGAAUGAGCCGAUGUCGGAUUAGCUAGUUGGCGGGGUAAAGGCCCACCAAGGCGACGAUCCGUAGCUGGUCUGAGAGGAUGAUCAGCCACACUGGAACUGAGACACGGUCCAGACUCCUACGGGAGGCAGCAGUGGGGAAUAUUGGACAAUGGGCGCAAGCCUGAUCCAGCCAUACCGCGUGGGUGAAGAAGGCCUUCGGGUUGUAAAGCCCUUUUGUUGGGGAAGAAAAGCAGCAGGUUAAGACCCCGCUGUUCUGACGGUACCCAAAGAAUAAGCACCGGCUAACUUCGU
Molecule: ribosomal RNA, 491 nt
Filed under: uncultured bacterium
Lineage: Bacteria
Description: partial 16S ribosomal RNA
Rfam family: Bacterial small subunit ribosomal RNA
Source: RNAcentral